AACGAACGCUGGCGGCAGGCCUAACACAUGCAAGUCGAGCGGACCCUUCGGGGUUAGCGGCGGACGGGUGAGUAACGCGUGGGAAUAUGCCCUUCUCUACGGAAUAGUCCUGGGAAACUGGGGGUAAUACCGUAUACGCCCUUUGGGGGAAAGAUUUAUCGGGGAAGGAUUAGCCCGCGUUGGAUUAGGUAGUUGGUGGGGUAAUGGCCUACCAAGCCGACGAUCCAUAGCUGGUUUGAGAGGAUGAUCAGCCACACUGGGACUGAGACACGGCCCAGACUCCUACGGGAGGCAGCAGUGGGGAAUCUUAGACAAUGGGGGCAACCCUGAUCUAGCCAUGCCGCGUGAGUGAUGAA
Molecule: ribosomal RNA, 356 nt
Filed under: uncultured Paracoccus sp.
Lineage: Bacteria; Pseudomonadati; Pseudomonadota; Alphaproteobacteria; Rhodobacterales; Paracoccaceae
Description: bacterial SSU rRNA
Rfam family: Bacterial small subunit ribosomal RNA
Source: RNAcentral